UGGCUCAGGACGAACGCUGGCGGCGUGCUUAACACAUGCAAGUCGAACGCUGAAGCCCGCAGCUUGCUGUGGGUGGAUGAGUGGCGAACGGGUGAGUAACACGUGAGUAACCUGCCCUUCACUCUGGGAUAAGCGCUGGAAACGGCGUCUAAUACCGGAUACGACCAGUCCUCGCAUGGGGUGCUGGUGGAAAGCUCCGGCGGUGAAGGAUGGACUCGCGGCCUAUCAGCUUGUUGGUGGGGUAAUGGCCUACCAAGGCGACGACGGGUAGCCGGCCUGAGAGGGCGACCGGCCACACUGGGACUGAGACACGGCCCAGACUCCUACGGGAGGCAGCAGUGGGGAAUAUUGCACAAUGGGCGCAAGCCUGAUGCAGCGACGCCGCGUGAGGGAUGACGGCCUUCGGGUUGUAAACCUCUUUCAGUUGGGACGAAGCCAGCUUGCUGGUGACGGUACCUUCAGAAGAAGCACCGGCUAACUACGUGCCAGCAGCCGCGGUAAUACGUAGGGUGCAAGCGUUGUCCGGAAUUAUUGGGCGUAAAGAGCUCGUAGGUGGUUUGUCGCGUCUGCUGUGAAAACUUCCCGCUCAACGGGGGGCCUGCAGUGGGUACGGGCAGACUAGAGUGCAGUAGAGGAGUCUGGAAUUCCUGGUGUAGCGGUGGAAUGCGCAGAUAUCAGGAGGAACACCGGUGGCGAAAGGCGGGACUCUGGGCUGUUACUGACGCUGAGGAGCGAAAGCAUGGGGAGCGAACAGGAUUAGAUACCCUGGUAGUCCAUGCCGUAAACGUUGGGCACUAGGUGUGGGGUCCAUUCCACGGAUUCCGUGCCGUAGCUAACGCAUUAAGUGCCCCGCCUGGGGAGUACGGCCGCAAGGCUAAAACUCAAAGGAAUUGACGGGGGCCCGCACAAGCGGCGGAGCAUGCGGAUUAAUUCGAUGCAACGCGAAGAACCUUACCAAGGCUUGACAUACACCGGUAACGGCCAGAGAUGGUCGCCCCCUUGUGGUCGGUGUACAGGUGGUGCAUGGUUGUCGUCAGCUCGUGUCGUGAGAUGUUGGGUUAAGUCCCGCAACGAGCGCAACCCUCGUCCUAUGUUGCCAGCACGUGAUGGUGGGAACUCAUGGGAGACUGCCGGGGUCAACUCGGAGGAAGGUGGGGAUGACGUCAAAUCAUCAUGCCCCUUAUGUCUUGGGCUUCACGCAUGCUACAAUGGCCGGUACAAAGGGCUGCGAUACCGCGAGGUGGAGCGAAUCCCAGAAAGCCGGUCUCAGUUCGGAUCGUAGUCUGCAACUCGACUACGUGAAGUCGGAGUCGCUAGUAAUCGCAGAUCAGCAAUGCUGCGGUGAAUACGUUCCCGGGCCUUGUACACACCGCCCGUCAAGUCACGAAAGUUGGUAACACCCGAAGCCGGUGGCCUAACCCCCUUGUGGGGAGGGAGCUGUCGAAGGUGGGACUGGCGAUUGGGACUAAGUCGUA
This 1475-nucleotide ribosomal RNA is filed under the name Micrococcineae bacterium NIO-S5. Its description in RNAcentral is "bacterial SSU rRNA". It matches the Rfam family "Bacterial small subunit ribosomal RNA". Lineage: Bacteria; Bacillati; Actinomycetota; Actinomycetes; Micrococcales. The record is from RNAcentral.